This 73-nucleotide transfer RNA is filed under the name Thermofilum sp. ex4484_79. RNAcentral's name for it is "tRNA-Arg". It matches the Rfam family "tRNA". From Rfam's summary of the family: Transfer RNA (tRNA) molecules are approximately 80 nucleotides in length. Their secondary structure includes four short double-helical elements and three loops (D, anti-codon, and T loops). Lineage: Archaea; Thermoproteati; Thermoproteota; Thermoprotei; Thermofilales; Thermofilaceae. The record is from RNAcentral. RNAcentral also lists the same sequence under 1 other name.
UGGCCCGUGGCCUAGUGGAUAGGGCGGCGGCCUCCUAAGCCGUAGGUCGUGGGUUCGAAUCCCACCGGGCCCG